This is an RNA transcript of Propithecus coquereli (Coquerel's sifaka), 1188 nucleotides long. It is a transcript of the gene named UV excision repair protein RAD23 homolog A pseudogene, with no coding region annotated. NCBI's taxonomy places the organism in Eukaryota, Metazoa, Chordata, Mammalia, Primates, Indriidae. The transcript has 2 exons. The record is from RefSeq and is a predicted model, not a curated record.
AUGGCCCAGGAACCCCCCGAAGCAGGGUCCUGGCAUUGGGACCCUAGAUGGAGCAUUGGCAGUACUCAGUUAAUUUGCAAUGGCGGCUAUGUGAGUUGUUCUUGUGUGAGGCUCCAGCACGCUCAAAACGCCGCAGCCGCAGCGACCGUCAAGGUCCGCGGGGAGUCUGACAAGACUGCGAAGGUGCUAAAAAGGAGAAGACAGAAGCUCAGAAGGGUCGUGAUGCUUUUCCCGAGGCUGGACAGAAACUCAUCUAUGCCGGCAAGAUGCUGAGAGACGAUGUACCCAUUAGGGACUAUCACAUAGAUGAGACCAACUUUAUGGUCGUCAUGGUGACCAAGGCCAAAGCUGGCCAGGGACCUCAGCAGCCCCAGAGAGCCCACCCACUGCUGCUCCGAAGUCCUGCACCUCCUGCCCGCCUGCCCCUGCCUCGGGCAUGUCCCAUCCCUCACCUGCCGCCGGAGAGCGCCAGAGCGCAUCAGAGGAAUCAGCCCCUAUCACCUCCCCAGAGUCCGUGUCAGGCUCUGUUCCCUCUUCAGGUAACAGUGGGCGAGAGGAGGACGCGGCCUCCACGCUAGCGACUGGCUCUGAGUGCGAGAACCUGCUCAUGGAAAGUGUCCACGCGCUACCCGCGGGAGCAGGUCGCGGCCGCCGAGGGCCAGCUACAAACCCCACCGAGCCGCGGAGUACCUACUCACAGGAUUUCCUGGAAGCCCGAAGCCAGAACACGGCUCUGUCCAGGAGAGACAGGUGUCCGAGCAGCCGACCACAGAAGCAGGAGACAACCCCUGGAGCUCCUGCGGGACCAAUCCCAGUUCCAGAACGUGCUGCAGGUGAAUUCAACGGAGCCCUGCGCUGCCGCCCGCUUUACUCCAGCAACUGGGCCAGGAGAACCCUCAGCUUUUGCAGCAAAUUAGCCAGCACCAGGAUCAGUUCAUCCAGAUGCUGAACGAACCCGCUGGGGAGCUAGCGGGUAUCUCAAAUGUGGAGGGUGAGGUGGGCGCCAUAGUCGAGGAGGCCCCGCAGCAGAACCACAGCCACAUGACGCCUCAGGAGAAAGAGGCCAUAGAAAGGCUGAAAGCGCCAGGCUUCCCAGAAUGCCUGGUGAUCCGGGCCUGCUUCGCGCGUGAAAAAAAACGAGAACUUGCUGCCGAUUUCCUCUUGAGUCAGAACUUUGGUAACGGGUGA